CCAUGGCCUCAACCUGUAAGGCGAGGCCAUGGUGAGUAAUAGGACUCGGCGACCACCGUCCUCCCAAUCUCGACAUAGGAGGUGCGCCGCCACAGCCAAGAGACAGAGGAUCCGACGACGACAAUGACGAUGUCAAGAGGAAGAGGGUGAUGCUGCUUCUCUAUGCGGCAGCGAACCGAGGACGCAAGAAUGCUGCUAGGUGCUCACAGGUCAGGCCUGACUGCAGCUGCCUUUUCUCCUCUCAAUGCAUGGUGUCAUGGUGAUUUCCACUGUUGGUGAAUGGUGAGCUCAUGCGUAACAUCUCCCUGCACCGCUUUCUUGAACAAAACACUCUAUUCCUCUACCCAUUCAUGCCAUGGUUGGUACAUCCGGAAUUACUAUUGUGACUGUUAACCAUAUUUGCAUUGUUUUUCUAUCAAUUAGGCCCCAUGAUGCUUGCUAAUCACCUAGCAUGCACCAGGCCUCUUUGCAGUAUAUUGAAGCAUUUGAGCAGGUUCGUGUAUUUGUGGUAGUGCGGAGCCUUCCAGCGGCGUGGGAGUAGCCACCGGCAGAUAUCGAGGGUGUUACCCUGACAAGCGUGCUCGUGGUGGUCGCUCAGAUCUCACCCCAUAUGGUUUGCUUACAUACCUCUGUGCCUUCACUGACACUAAAGUAAAUAGAGGGAAUUUUCCUCUCACCAAACGUUCCAGAUUUUCGGAGACAACUUGCAUUUGAAUUCAAAGGCACAUAGAGGUUGGACAAUUUCAUUGGGAAAGUAGGUUUGAAGGUUUUGUUGUUGAAAGCAAAUUCUUCUAAUAGGUGGAUCCUUAUUUCUGCCAUGGGAGCUGUAUUUUCAAACCUUCAAAAAUUACUUCUGGUGUUGCACUGGCUUUGCUGAGAAAGCAUUUUAGCUUAGUACUUGCAAGAGAUACAAACAAUCAGGCCUGUAAGCAUGACUAUUCACACCUCGAAGUUAUGAUCUAUGAACAAUAUUGUAUGUUCUGAAUGG
Long non-coding RNA from Lolium rigidum, 988 nucleotides. RefSeq lists it as uncharacterized. The record is from RefSeq and is a predicted model, not a curated record. Lineage: Eukaryota; Viridiplantae; Streptophyta; Magnoliopsida; Poales; Poaceae. The transcript has 2 exons.